UACGGAGGGUGCAAGCGUUAUCCGGAUUCACUGGGUUUAAAGGGCGCGUAGGCGGCCAGCACACGUCAGUUGUGAAAUCUCCGAGCUUAACUCGGAAAGGUCAACUGAUACUGUGCGGCUAGAGUGCGGAAGGGGCAACUGGAAUUCUUGGUGUAGCGGUGAAAUGCGUAGAUAUCAAGAGGAACACCUGCGGCGAAGGCGGGUUGCUGGGCCGACACUGACGCUGAGGCGCGAAAGCCAGGGGAGCGAACGGG
This 254-nucleotide ribosomal RNA is filed under the name uncultured bacterium. RNAcentral's name for it is "partial 16S ribosomal RNA". It matches the Rfam family "Bacterial small subunit ribosomal RNA", at positions 524 to 776 of the family's 1533-position model. The record is from RNAcentral.